Etheostoma cragini (Arkansas darter) is the source of this 133-nucleotide long non-coding RNA. RefSeq lists it as uncharacterized. Lineage: Eukaryota; Metazoa; Chordata; Actinopteri; Perciformes; Percidae. The transcript is spliced from 3 exons. The record is from RefSeq and is a predicted model, not a curated record.
GGCCACAUCAACAAGUUAAAGUUUUCCUCAGUGCCUCUGCAAAAAUGACUUUAACAAGUAAUAGACUUUGACACACACACACAAACUAAACAGUUCAUUCAGCAAAGAAAGAUUUAAAAUGUGUACAAAAUCC